Molecule: non-coding RNA, 102 nt
Organism: Termitomyces sp. T32_za158
Lineage: Eukaryota; Fungi; Basidiomycota; Agaricomycetes; Agaricales; Lyophyllaceae
Source: the annotation of a GenBank genome assembly
GGUGAGAUGGCCGAGCGGUCCAAGGCGCCAGACUAAGGUACUGUCCCAUUCAAAGAUUAUCUGGUCUCUCCGGAGGCGGGAGUUCGAAUCUCCCUCUCAUCA